UACGAAGGGGGCUAGCGUUACUCGGAAUUACUGGGCGUAAAGGGCGCGUAGGCGGCACCGCAAGUCGACUGUGAAAUCUCCGGGCUUAACCCGGAAAGGUCAGCCGAUACCGCGGGGCUAGAGUGCAGAAGGGGCAACUGGAAUUCUCGGUGUAGCGGUGAAAUGUGUAGAUAUCAGGAGGAACACCGGCGGUGUAGACGGCUUUCUGGACCGUAGCUGACGCUGAGACACGAAAGCGUGGGUAGCAAACAGG
Molecule: ribosomal RNA, 253 nt
Filed under: uncultured bacterium
Lineage: Bacteria
Description: partial 16S ribosomal RNA
Rfam family: Bacterial small subunit ribosomal RNA
Source: RNAcentral